This 491-nucleotide ribosomal RNA is filed under the name uncultured bacterium. Its description in RNAcentral is "partial 16S ribosomal RNA". It matches the Rfam family "Bacterial small subunit ribosomal RNA", at positions 29 to 506 of the family's 1533-position model. The record is from RNAcentral.
AGUGAACGCUGGCGGUAGGCCUAACACAUGCAAGUCGAACGGCAGCACAGUAAGAGCUUGCUCUUACGGGUGGCGAGUGGCGGACGGGUGAGGAAUACAUCGGAAUCUACUUUUUCGUGGGGGAUAACGUAGGGAAACUUACGCUAAUACAGCAUACGACCUACGGGUGAAAGCAGGGGAUCUUCGGACCUUGCGCGGAUGAAUGAGCCGGUGUCGGAUUAGCUAGUUGGCGGGGUAAAGGCCCACCAAGGCGACGAUCCGUAGCUGGUCUGUGAGGAUGCUCCGCCACACUGGAACUGAGACACGGUCCAGACUCCUACGGGCGGCAGCAGUGGGUAAUAUUGGACAAUGGGCGCAAGCCUGCUCCAGCCAUACCGCGUGGGUGAAGCAGGCCUUCGGGUUGUAAAGCCCUUUUGUUGUGAAAGAAAAGCAGCAGGUUAAUACCCCGCUGUUCUGACGGUACCCAAAGAAUAAGCACCGCCUAACUUCGU